This is a long non-coding RNA of Cavia porcellus (domestic guinea pig), 403 nucleotides long. RefSeq lists it as uncharacterized. The transcript has 3 exons. The record is from RefSeq and is a predicted model, not a curated record. NCBI's taxonomy places the organism in Eukaryota, Metazoa, Chordata, Mammalia, Rodentia, Caviidae.
AGAAAGAGAAGCAAGGCGUUGUGGGUUCUCCUAAGUGCUGCUGUUGAGCCGUUGGUUCUCCUGGAGGAGCUGAUCAUGUUGCCUUCCUCAGUGAGGACGGAGUGAUGUGAUAGGGAUGAAAGUCCACUGGGAAUGAUAAAUCCUUCUACAAAUGAUCACGGUGCUCAGUAACAGGGUCUCACUGUGCAGUUUUAGGCUGGCCUUCAGCUCACUUUGUAGCCCAGACUGGUCUCAAACUCACAACGAUCCUCCUGCCUCAGCCUCCCGAGUGCUGGGAUUACACGCAUGUGUCAUCACACCCAGCAACAAUCUUCUUUUAAUAAAGUGCUUCCCCUUUACAUUUUGCCACUGAUUUUAUCAGUAUUGUCUCUGUCAUUUUAUUUUGUAUUUUAUUAAAAGUAUC